GACGAACGCUGGCGGCGUGCCUAACACAUGCAAGUCGAACGGAACUGUUUUGAAAGAUUUCUUCGGAAUGAUUUUGAUUUAGUUUAGUGGCGGACGGGUGAGUAACGCGUGAGUAACCUGCCUUCAAGAGGGGAAUAACAUUCUGAAAAGAAUGCUAAUACCGCAUGACAUAUCGGAACCACAUGGUUUUGAUAUCAAAGAUUUUAUCGCUUGAAGAUGGACUCGCGUCCGAUUAGUUAGUUGGUGAGGUAACGGCUCACCAAGACCGCGAUCGGUAGCCGGACUGAGAGGUUGAACGGCCACAUUGGGACUGAGACACGGCCCAGACUCCUACGGGAGGCAGCAGUGGGGGAUAUUGCGCAAUGGGGGCAACCCUGACGCAGCAACGCCGCGUGAAGGAUGAAGGUUUUCGGAUUGUAAACUUCUUUUAUUAAGGACGAAAAAUGACGGUACUUAAUGAAUAAGCUCCGGCUAACUACGUG
RNAcentral lists this ribosomal RNA (482 nucleotides) under uncultured bacterium. Its description in RNAcentral is "partial 16S ribosomal RNA". It matches the Rfam family "Bacterial small subunit ribosomal RNA", at positions 28 to 507 of the family's 1533-position model. The record is from RNAcentral.